This 89-nucleotide small RNA is filed under the name Bombyx mori (domestic silkworm). Its description in RNAcentral is "Bm_162". The record is from RNAcentral. Lineage: Eukaryota; Metazoa; Arthropoda; Insecta; Lepidoptera; Bombycidae.
AGAGUCAACUCCAGGUCAUCGUGAAUCACAGUACAAACUACUGUGUACACUUUUUGUAAGGAAUCGUGCAUUGUGUGUACGAGUCCUUU